GCCUGUGUGGCUCAGUUGUUAAGCAACUGACUUCAGCUCAGGUCACGAUCUCCCAGUUCGUGGGUUCGAGCCCCAUGUCGGGCU
RNAcentral lists this transfer RNA (84 nucleotides) under Felis catus (domestic cat). It matches the Rfam family "tRNA". Rfam says of the family: Transfer RNA (tRNA) molecules are approximately 80 nucleotides in length. Lineage: Eukaryota; Metazoa; Chordata; Mammalia; Carnivora; Felidae. The record is from Rfam by way of RNAcentral.